GCGCGUGCUAUACAUGCAAGUCGAGCGAAUGGAUUAAGAGCUUGCUCUUAUGAAGUUAGCGGCGGACGGGUGAGUAACACGUGGGUAACCUGCCCAUAAGACUGGGAUAACUCCGGGAAACCGGGGCUAAUACCGGAUAACAUUUUGAACCGCAUGGUUCGAAAUUGAAAGGCGGCUUCGGCUGUCACUUAUGGAUGGACCCGCGUCGCAUUAGCUAGUUGGUGAGGUAACGGCUCACCAAGGCAACGAUGCGUAGCCGACCUGAGAGGGUGAUCGGCCACACUGGGACUGAGACACGGCCCAGACUCCUACGGGAGGCAGCAGUAGGGAAUCUUCCGCAAUGGACGAAAGUCUGACGGAGCAACGCCGCGUGAGUGAUGAAGGCUUUCGGGUCGUAAAACUCUGUUGUUAGGGAAGAACAAGUGCUAGUUGAAUAAGCUGGCACCUUGACGGUACCUAACCAGAAAGCCACGGCUAACUACGUGCCAGCAGCCGCGGUAAUACGUAGGUGGCAAGCGUUAUCCGGAAUUAUUGGGCGUAAAGCGCGCGCAGGUGGUUUCUUAAUUCUGAUGUGAAAGCCCACGGCUCAACCNUGGAGGGUCAUUGGAAACUGGGAGACAUGUGUGCGCAAGAG
RNAcentral lists this ribosomal RNA (634 nucleotides) under Bacillus sp. 3AS5. Its description in RNAcentral is "bacterial SSU rRNA". It matches the Rfam family "Bacterial small subunit ribosomal RNA", at positions 42 to 656 of the family's 1533-position model. The record is from RNAcentral. Lineage: Bacteria; Bacillati; Bacillota; Bacilli; Caryophanales; Bacillaceae.